UCCGUAGGUGAACCUGCGGAAGGAUCAUUAGUGAAGUUAUCAGGGUGCUUUCAUUAGGCCCGACUACACUUAUUACACACUGUGCACUUGUUUAUAAAUUGAUGGCUUGACUCACAUCGAGCUGUCUCUUUAUUUCAUACACUUGUUAAUGGAAAGAAGUUGAUAGGAUGUAAUCAAAUUGAUUAAACGAAAGUACAACUUUCAGCAACGGAUGUCUUGGCUCUCGCAUCGAUGAAGAACGCAGCGAAAUGCGAUACGUAAUGUGAAUUGCAGAACUCAGUGAAUCAUCGAAUUUUUGAACGCACCUUGCGCUCUGUGGUUAUUCCGCAGAGCAUGCUUGUUUGAGUGUCGCGAACUUCUCAACCCCGCCUAUUCAUUUAGGUAGCUUGGGCUUGGAUCAUGAUUGUUGCUCUUUCCUUUUGUGAAAGAGCUCAGUUGAAAUACAACAAGUUGGAUGGACGUACAGUUACCGCUUGACCUGAUGUUGUAGAAACACUUCGUCGGGGAUGGUAAUCUGAAGGUGCAAUGAACUUUAACAGACCUUAAUUGACACUAUUAGAUUAGUGCAUUAUGACCUCAAAUCAAGUAGGACUACCCGCUGAACUUAAGCAUAUCAAUAAGCGGAGGA
Molecule: ribosomal RNA, 628 nt
Filed under: Kondoa phyllada
Lineage: Eukaryota; Fungi; Basidiomycota; Agaricostilbomycetes; Agaricostilbales; Kondoaceae
Description: eukaryotic LSU rRNA
Rfam family: 5.8S ribosomal RNA (bases 197-351)
Source: RNAcentral